Molecule: ribosomal RNA, 206 nt
Filed under: uncultured bacterium
Lineage: Bacteria
Description: partial 16S ribosomal RNA
Rfam family: Bacterial small subunit ribosomal RNA
Source: RNAcentral
CACGUAGGCGGUGAAUCGGGUUGAAAGUGAAAGUCGCCAAAAACUGGCGGAAUGCUCUCGAAACCAAUUCACUUGAGUGAGACAGAGGAGAGUGGAAUUUCGUGUGGAGGGGUGAAAUCCUGAGAUCUACGAAGGAACGCCAAAAGCGAAGGCAGCUCUCUGGGUCCCUACCGACGCUGGGGUGCGAAAGCAGUGGGGAGCGAACU